AUUAGACUGACCAAAAAAAUUAUAAAAUGUCAUAAAAUUUCUAGGAGUAGUUUGUUACGGCGUAAAACAUGUCACUUCCUGUUGCCAGCAGGUGGCGCUAUAGCGAUAUCUGAAUAUUGGCAUGUAGAUAUAUUCAGGUCAGGAGUCUUCUCAAACAUGUGAAGUUUGGGGCAGAUUGGACAUUGUAUGUCUGAGUUAUAGCAACUUCCUUUCUCAUGGCGAAACAUCGAAAUUUGUAAGGCCGCCACAGACACGCCCUUAAACGAAACCUCAAGAUCUUCGCAAUUUAACAUCGCAAAGGCCUUUAGAUUACACUGACAAAGUUUGGUGUUGAUCUGAAUAAAUCUCUAGGAGGAGUUCGUUAAAGUACAACCCCUGAAAAUGGCAAAAACGACACAAAUUUUGCAGAGAAAAUUCAAAAUAACUGACUUCCUGUUGGGAUUCGAAUUUCGUACCAAGAGACUUUUUUGUAGGUAUUGGUGUGUUACAUGUGUGUACCGAUUUUUGUACAUGUACGUGAAACGUAGCUCGAGGCGCACUCCGCUGAAAUUGUAUAGGUGGCGCUAUCGAGGCAUUUUGCCACACCCGAUGGAAUAUUGGCCUUCAGAUUUGUUCAGGCCAGGACUCUUAUCGAACAUGUGAAGUUUGGGCAAGAUCGGACAUUUUAUGCCUGAGUUACAAUAACUUUUAUUCCCAUGGCGAGACAUCGAACUUUGUGACGGCGCCAUGGACACGCCCUUUAACGAAAACUCAAGAUCUUCACAAUUUAACAUCGCACAGGCCUUUAGAAUAGAGUGACUGAAAAAAAAACAUUUAUGUCAUAAAAUUUCUCGGGGUAGUUUGUUACAGUGUAAAAUAUGUCACUUCCUGUUGCCAGUAGGUGGCGCUAUGACUAUAACUGAAUAUGGGC
Molecule: long non-coding RNA, 910 nt
Organism: Cyprinus carpio carpio
Lineage: Eukaryota; Metazoa; Chordata; Actinopteri; Cypriniformes; Cyprinidae
Source: Ensembl